GAAGUUUUCAGAGAUGAGAAUGUGCCUUCGGGAACCGUGAGACAGGUGCUGCAUGGCUGUCGUCAGCUCGUGUUGUGAAAUGUUGGGUUAAGUCCCGCAACGAGCGCAACCCUUAUCCUUUGUUGCCAGCGGUUAGGCCGGGAACUCAAAGGAGACUGCCAGUGAUAAACUGGAGGAAGGUGGGGAUGACGUCAAGUCAUCAUGGCCCUUACGACCAGGGCUACACACGUGCUACAAUGGCGCAUACAAAGAGAAGCGACCUCGCGAGAGCAAGUGGACCUCAUAAAGUGCGUCGUAGUCCGGAUUGGAGUCUGCAACUCGACUCCAUGAAGUCGGAAUCGCUAGUAAUCGUGGAUCAGAAUGCCACGGUGAAUACGUUCCCGGGCCUUGUACACACCGCCCGUCACACCAUGGGAGUGGGUUGCAAAAGAAGUAGGUAGCUUAACCUUCGGGAGGGCGCUUACCACUUUGUGAUUCAUGACUGGGGUGAAGUCGUAACAAGGUAACCGUAGGGGAACCUGCGGUUGGAUCACCUCCUUA
RNAcentral lists this ribosomal RNA (540 nucleotides) under Salmonella enterica subsp. enterica serovar Kentucky. RNAcentral's name for it is "bacterial SSU rRNA". It matches the Rfam family "Bacterial small subunit ribosomal RNA", at positions 993 to 1533 of the family's 1533-position model. The record is from RNAcentral. Lineage: Bacteria; Pseudomonadati; Pseudomonadota; Gammaproteobacteria; Enterobacterales; Enterobacteriaceae.